GUGAAGAUGCCGAUUACCCGCAGUGGGACGAAAAGACCCCGUGCACCUUUACUAUAGCUUCGUAUUGACCCUGGGUAAGUAAUGUGUAGGAUAGCUGGGAGGCUGUGAAGCGGCGUCGCCAGGCGUUGUGGAGCCAUUGUUGAAAUACCAGCCUUUGCUUAUUCGGGGCCUAACUCUCAUUAGAGAGAACAGUGCGUGGUGGGUAGUUUGACUGGGGUGGCCGC
This 224-nucleotide ribosomal RNA is filed under the name Pseudo-nitzschia pungens. RNAcentral's name for it is "partial Bacterial large subunit ribosomal RNA". It matches the Rfam family "Bacterial large subunit ribosomal RNA", at positions 2053 to 2286 of the family's 2925-position model. The record is from RNAcentral. Lineage: Eukaryota; Bacillariophyta; Bacillariophyceae; Bacillariales; Bacillariaceae.